Molecule: ribosomal RNA, 254 nt
Filed under: uncultured bacterium
Lineage: Bacteria
Description: partial 16S ribosomal RNA
Rfam family: Bacterial small subunit ribosomal RNA
Source: RNAcentral
UACGUAGGGGGCGAGCGUUGUCCGGAUUUAUUGGGCGUAAAGAGCUCGUAGGCGGUUCGAUAAGUCGGACGUGAAAUCUCCACGCUCAACGUGGAGGGGCCGUUCGAUACUGUCGUGACUCGAGUCCGGUAGGGGAGUGUGGAAUUCCCGGUGUAGCGGUGAAAUGCGCAGAGAUCGGGAGGAACACCAAUUGCGAAGGCAGCUCGCUGGGACGUUACUGACGCUGAGGCGCGAAAGCGUGGGGAGCAAACAGG